GCGACAGGACGGAAAGACCCCGUGGAGCUUUACUGUAGCCUGAUAUUGAAAUUCGGCACAGCUUGUACAGGAUAGGUAGGAGCCUUUGAAACGUGAGCGCUAGCUUACGUGGAGGCGUUGGUGGGAUACUACCCUAGCUGUGUUGGCUUUCUAACCCGCACCACUUAUCGUGGUGGGAGACAGUGUCAGGCGGGCAGUUUGACUGGGGCGGUCGCCUCCUAAAAGGUAACGGAGGCGCUCAAAGGUUCCCUCAGAAUGGUUGGAAAUCAUUCAUAGAGUGUAAAGGCAUAAGG
This 293-nucleotide ribosomal RNA is filed under the name Staphylococcus hominis. RNAcentral's name for it is "partial 23S ribosomal RNA". It matches the Rfam family "Bacterial large subunit ribosomal RNA", at positions 2072 to 2364 of the family's 2925-position model. Lineage: Bacteria; Bacillati; Bacillota; Bacilli; Caryophanales; Staphylococcaceae. The record is from RNAcentral.